CGAGCAUCGCUGGAAAGAACCAUAACUCAACGGAGAAGACGACCGAAGUCCGACGGAACUCACGACAUCCUUUACUGUGAUAACCAUUACAUUCGUUCUCUUGGAUUAUUCUCCAUUUCUUACUCGUACGUUCUUACAAGAAAGCGCAACGCAAUCAAUGAUGAGGAUUAAGAGUUGAAGAAUUGAUUAGGAUGGCUUAGAAACCCACAUUACAAUAAACUAUGUUUGAUGUUUGUUAUUUCCCUUUUAUGACAUUUUGUAUGAAACUUAGCAAUUUUAAUAAAUGAAAUUAAUUAUAUUGUCA
This is a long non-coding RNA of Helianthus annuus (common sunflower), 304 nucleotides long. RefSeq lists it as uncharacterized. The transcript has 3 exons. Lineage: Eukaryota; Viridiplantae; Streptophyta; Magnoliopsida; Asterales; Asteraceae. The record is from RefSeq and is a predicted model, not a curated record.